RNAcentral lists this ribosomal RNA (549 nucleotides) under uncultured Actinomycetes bacterium. RNAcentral's name for it is "bacterial SSU rRNA". It matches the Rfam family "Bacterial small subunit ribosomal RNA", at positions 932 to 1482 of the family's 1533-position model. Lineage: Bacteria; Bacillati; Actinomycetota; Actinomycetes. The record is from RNAcentral.
GCGGAGCAUGCGGAUUAAUUCGAUGCAACGCGAAGAACCUUACCAAGGCUUGACAUAUAGAGGAAAAGCGUAGAAAUACGCUCCCCGCAAGGUCUCUAUACAGGUGGUGCAUGGUUGUCGUCAGCUCGUGUCGUGAGAUGUUGGGUUAAGUCCCGCAACGAGCGCAACCCUCGUCCUAUGUUGCCAGCACGUAAUGGUGGGAACUCAUGGGAUACUGCCGGGGUCAACUCGGAGGAAGGUGGGGAUGACGUCAAAUCAUCAUGCCCCUUAUGUCUUGGGCUUCACGCAUGCUACAAUGGCCGGUACAGAGGGCUGCAAUACCGCAAGGUGGAGUGAAUCCCAAAAAGCCGGUCUCAGUUCGGAUUGAGGUCUGCAACUCGACCUCAUGAAGUUGGAGUCGCUAGUAAUCGUGGAUCAGCAACGCCACGGUGAAUACGUUCCCGGGCCUUGUACACACCGCCCGUCAAGUCAUGAAAGUCGGUAACACCCGAAGCCGGUGGCCCAACCGCAAGGAGGGAGCUGUCGAAGGUGGGAUCGGUGAUUAGGACU